This 1218-nucleotide ribosomal RNA is filed under the name Enterococcus sp. ZGZ2. RNAcentral describes it as "bacterial SSU rRNA". It matches the Rfam family "Bacterial small subunit ribosomal RNA", at positions 28 to 1219 of the family's 1533-position model. Lineage: Bacteria; Bacillati; Bacillota; Bacilli; Lactobacillales; Enterococcaceae. The record is from RNAcentral.
GACGAACGCUGGCGGCGUGCCUAAUACAUGCAAGUCGAACGCUUUUUCUUUCACCGGAGCUUGCUCCACCGAAAGAAAAAGAGUGGCGAACGGGUGAGUAACACGUGGGUAACCUGCCCAUCAGAAGGGGAUAACACUUGGAAACAGGUGCUAAUACCGUAUAACACUAUUUUCCGCAUGGAAGAAAGUUGAAAGGCGCUUUUGCGUCACUGAUGGAUGGACCCGCGGUGCAUUAGCUAGUUGGUGAGGUAACGGCUCACCAAGGCAACGAUGCAUAGCCGACCUGAGAGGGUGAUCGGCCACACUGGGACUGAGACACGGCCCAGACUCCUACGGGAGGCAGCAGUAGGGAAUCUUCGGCAAUGGACGAAAGUCUGACCGAGCAACGCCGCGUGAGUGAAGAAGGUUUUCGGAUCGUAAAACUCUGUUGUUAGAGAAGAACAAGGAUGAGAGUAAAAUGUUCAUCCCUUGACGGUAUCUAACCAGAAAGCCACGGCUAACUACGUGCCAGCAGCCGCGGUAAUACGUAGGUGGCAAGCGUUGUCCGGAUUUAUUGGGCGUAAAGCGAGCGCAGGCGGUUUCUUAAGUCUGAUGUGAAAGCCCCCGGCUCAACCGGGGAGGGUCAUUGGAAACUGGGAGACUUGAGUGCAGAAGAGGAGAGUGGAAUUCCAUGUGUAGCGGUGAAAUGCGUAGAUAUAUGGAGGAACACCAGUGGCGAAGGCGGCUCUCUGGUCUGUAACUGACGCUGAGGCUCGAAAGCGUGGGGAGCGAACAGGAUUAGAUACCCUGGUAGUCCACGCCGUAAACGAUGAGUGCUAAGUGUUGGAGGGUUUCCGCCCUUCAGUGCUGCAGCAAACGCAUUAAGCACUCCGCCUGGGGAGUACGACCGCAAGGUUGAAACUCAAAGGAAUUGACGGGGGCCCGCACAAGCGGUGGAGCAUGUGGUUUAAUUCGAAGCAACGCGAAGAACCUUACCAGGUCUUGACAUCCUUUGACCACUCUAGAGAUAGAGCUUCCCCUUCGGGGGCAAAGUGACAGGUGGUGCAUGGUUGUCGUCAGCUCGUGUCGUGAGAUGUUGGGUUAAGUCCCGCAACGAGCGCAACCCUUAUUGUUAGUUGCCAUCAUUUAGUUGGGCACUCUAGCGAGACUGCCGGUGACAAACCGGAGGAAGGUGGGGAUGACGUCAAAUCAUCAUGCCCCUUAUGACCUGGGCUACAC